AUGAAAACGGGCACGGCCCCGGGUUCUGAUGGGUGGCCGGUAGAGUUUUUCAAAAAAUUAUGGCCCAGCCUGAAACAUGUGUUUCACGCAAUCGUUAAUGGCUUUGCGUUGGGCCAAGUGGACCUGGCCCGUCUAAAUUUUGGGGUGAUUAGUCUCAUCCCCAAAGUUAAGGGCACGGACAGCAUCAAGUUAUUUAGGCCUAUCACGCUUAUUAAUGUACCGUUCAAGCUAUGCGCCAAAGCCUACGCUGUCCGGCUGACACCUAUUGCUCAAAGGGUGAUCAGUAGGUGUCAGACUGGGUUCAUCAAGGGGCGCAAUAUUUUGGAGGGACCAGGUGCGCUAGCGGAGAUCGUGCAUGAGCUAAAACGAACGAAAGGACAAGGGGUGCUGCUCAAGCUCGACUUCGAGAAAGCCUAUGACCGCGUGAACUGGGAGUUCGUAUGGGAGGUGCUGCUCAAAAAGGGUUUUGACGCAGGCUUUGUUCAUAGGAUUAUGCACCUGAUUAGCUGUGGGUAA
RNAcentral lists this ribosomal RNA (516 nucleotides) under Triticum aestivum (bread wheat). RNAcentral's name for it is "partial small subunit ribosomal RNA". Lineage: Eukaryota; Viridiplantae; Streptophyta; Magnoliopsida; Poales; Poaceae. The record is from RNAcentral.